AUGUCCUUGUCAACUAGGUUCUCGCGGGGGCCUCGACUUUGGACCGUCUUGGACAACUUCCAUGACUUGCCCUACGACGACGAUGACGACAUCACUGCCAGCGGCCUCGAAGGUCGUGCCUACGAGGUGACCAUCCACUUCAUGCGCUACGAUUUAGUUUUGUGUGGGAAGUCAACCCGGCAAUCCGACCCAUGGGUGGUCGCGCCCAUGGGCACUCAACCUGAAUGGAUAGGGUAUGGGUUGUCAUCUUCACUCUUGGUACUGGCCAUGGGAAGCCCGGCCCGGCCGGCCCGGCCCGACGCUGCCCCCGGGCCGGGCUCGGGCCUAGUUUUUGAGCCCGAAGGCCGGGCCGGGCCGGGCCCGGGCCCAUCAUUUUUGCCAUUUUCUGAAGGUCAGGCCGGGCCGGCCCGAAGCCCGGCGGGCUUUUACGUGCUCGGGCCCAGAAACACAGGCCCGAUGGCUUUUUUUGUGUCGGGCUUGGCUAGGCCCAUCCCGAAGCCCGGCCCGGCCCGAGGUUUGGCCAGGUGUACUCACAUCCACACAUGCAUUUUAUUUAUCUCUAGGCCUAUGGUUCUUUCACAUUUGAAGAAUGAAGGCCCAACAAUGUUCGGCCCAUACAACACAUACAUCGUUGGUUCAGGCACCUGCCGCCGCCUCCUCGCGCACUCCCGCACGCGCGCCGCGCCCUCACCUCUCUCUCCCCCUCCAAACCCUACUCCGUGUCCGCCUCCCUGCCCCGCCGCGGGCCGCCGCCGCCGCCGCCACCGCUGCUCGCCCGGGCACCCAUCCUCGGCCUCACGCUGCCCAUCUAGAGAGAUAGGGGCCGCGGGUGAUGAGGCCGACGUGCCGUCGUCCCGUCUUCUGCGAGGUCGAGGAGAGCCAAUCCCACCUUGUCGCCAUCUCCUUCAUCCAGCCGGCUGCCGCCUUGGCCGACUCCUCCUCCCCUUCCGUCCUCCUCCUGUCGCGUCUCCACCCCGUUGUCAGACCACAUGCUGCUCCACCCUUCCUCCUCCCCUCCCAUCGUUCCCUCUAAUUCUAGGAGUGGGUGAGGAGGCUGAGCCACUGCCCGCCGCCGGCCCGCAACACCUCCUGAUCGACCACGCCGAGGAAGCACUGGACCUUCAUCCUUGCGUCUGUGCACCUCUGGAAAGGAGACGACCCGAGGAUUUUGCUAUUCCUGUAGUUGUUUGUCUGGACUCUGGAGAGGCAUGUACAUAUGCAGAUUGCCUGGGAAUAAGGAUAACCGACAUUGACAGAACAUUCUGUGUAUAUCUGGAAACGCAGGUCAGCAGUGACUUGGAAUACCUGGUUCUCGCUACAGAUGGUCUUUGGGAUGUCGUGCAAAAUGAGAUUUGGGGGGCCUUGAGGCAUUCAAAUGGAGCACAUGUGUUCAUCUUAGAUUUGGAGUACGUGCAUUCAGGCUUAAAUGUGCAAAUGCACACUGCUGGAGCGCCCUUCAGCAACGAGGAGGCCCAUCGCGACACAGCCGCCGCCUGCGUCGGUUCUCCCCAGCGCGACAUGGACGCCGCCGGCGUCGGUUCUCCCCAGCACAGCCACUCUGAAGACGGAAAGGUCCACUGUAGCUGUUGUUUGUUCCGUUUGUUGAGGCUUGGUCGGCCUGCUGCUACCGUUUCAGGAGGUUGCAAGCUUAUACUAGAUGAUAUGAAGGUGCUAUUUUGUUUGUCAGUGAUAGGCCUCGUGGAGUUGCAGUUGUUGACAAAUAAGAUGCCACCGUUGAUGCUCUCCAGCAGUAGCUAUGCAGCUUUCUCCUGGGACCAUCGUCAUAAACCAAUCAACUCUUUGAGAAUGGAUGUCGUGCUCACUCGCUGGCUUCUAAUUGCUAAUGCCUUGCUGCUAUCAGGAGAAGACAACAUCAAGAAGGCCAUGGCUGAGGCAAAACUGUGA
Molecule: ribosomal RNA, 1905 nt
Filed under: Triticum aestivum (bread wheat)
Lineage: Eukaryota; Viridiplantae; Streptophyta; Magnoliopsida; Poales; Poaceae
Description: partial small subunit ribosomal RNA
Source: RNAcentral